UCUUCUAAAAAAGUGGCGCGAGAUGACACCUGUGGGAGAGUAGACGCGGUAAACAGCUGCUGUCCGUGGCUGGCCCACGCGUCAACGAGUACGAGAAGCACUUCUGUCCCCCACCGCCCCUAUAGGAUUCAGGAACCUUCUUCUUCACUAGACCAAUGCGAGUUGUUCCCCAAAUCCACUGUCGCGCGCCAUUGCCGCUCAAUCUCCGCUCACAUCCAACCAGAAGCACUUCUGUCCCCCCCCCCACCGCCCCCUCAAACCCCCCGUAGGCGCUGCAUCCACGUUCACGUCGCUUGAGGAGGUGAGCAGUCGGAUCUGGCUAGGUGCGCAGUCGCGCGCCAUUUGUUUUUUUCUCGUGAGCGCCCUCUGCCAUCCCGCCUCCUCCUGGUAACGCGCUGCUCAAGAUUACUGGAUCUGGUGAGUCACCGUUCAGAGUUGGGUUCAUGUUCCUGGGGCGCUUCUUCUUACGUUCGCAGGCGGAGCGUCCGUGGAGGAGGCGGCGGGGUAUUGAUGGAAGUGGUACCCUUGAUGGACAGACACUGGUUCCCCUUGGCUAGACAGAUUUCAAACUGAAUAUGAGGUUGUCUCUAUCAGCAGCAAGGGAAGAAAACUUGACGGUUAAUCCUGGAAGAUGGCGAGUGCUCUAUCUUGGAGACUUGGAAGAUGGCGAAUCUUGGAAGAACAUCAAAAGGAUGGAAACACCUUGCCACGGUAAUAGCGCCAGAACAGCCGUCGACGGCUUCAAGCUCCUACUUGUGUUUCCGGCGUUUGGCUGUUGCGGCUGUAUGGAGUCAGCAAGCAUGUCCGGCUGAAAAGGCUGGAGUCAGGUACAGCCAGUCAGCAAGCAUGUACGGCUGUAAAGGCUGGAGUCAGGCGGCGGCUGUACUGCUGCUAGGCGGCGGCUGUACUAGGACUUAAAUUGAUGUUACUCGGUGGGCUGUACCAUGCUGAUUUGUACCUCACGUGUGUAUAUGGACCUGGUCGAUGUGGGCUUUUUUGGGCACAAUAGAUUGCAACAUGACAUGUAUGGGUGUAGACAUAUAUGGAUCUAGACAUUAUAUUAUAUAUUAUAUUUAUUCUUCAUGUUUAUAUUA
This is a long non-coding RNA of Zea mays, 1094 nucleotides long. RefSeq lists it as uncharacterized. Lineage: Eukaryota; Viridiplantae; Streptophyta; Magnoliopsida; Poales; Poaceae. The transcript is spliced from 4 exons. The record is from RefSeq and is a predicted model, not a curated record.